This 74-nucleotide transfer RNA is filed under the name Mycoplasmataceae bacterium. RNAcentral describes it as "tRNA-Gly". It matches the Rfam family "tRNA". Rfam says of the family: Transfer RNA (tRNA) molecules are approximately 80 nucleotides in length. Their secondary structure includes four short double-helical elements and three loops (D, anti-codon, and T loops). Lineage: Bacteria; Bacillati; Mycoplasmatota; Mollicutes; Mycoplasmatales; Mycoplasmataceae. The record is from RNAcentral.
GCGGAUGUAGUUCAGUGGUAGAACCACAGCCUUCCAAGCUGUUUAUGUCGGUUCGAUUCCGAUCAUCCGCUCCA